GGCUUUGUAGUGUAGAGGUUAUCACUCAAGAUUCUGAUUCUUGAAACCCAGGUUCGAGUCCUGGCAAGGCCU
This is a non-coding RNA of Coprinopsis marcescibilis, 72 nucleotides long. Lineage: Eukaryota; Fungi; Basidiomycota; Agaricomycetes; Agaricales; Psathyrellaceae. The record is from the annotation of a GenBank genome assembly.